RNAcentral lists this small RNA (531 nucleotides) under Mucor circinelloides. RNAcentral's name for it is "eukaryotic LSU rRNA". The stretch from base 211 to 363 matches the Rfam family "5.8S ribosomal RNA". The record is from RNAcentral. Lineage: Eukaryota; Fungi; Mucoromycota; Mucoromycetes; Mucorales; Mucoraceae.
UGGGCUUUUUCAUACUUUGGCUUGUCAUUAUUAUCUAUUUACUUUGAACUGUAUUAUUACUUGACGCUUGAGGGAUGCUCCACUGCUAUAAGGAUAGGCGAUGGAGAUGCUAAGCGAGUCAUAGUCAAGCUUAGGCUUGGUAUCCUAUUAUUAUUUACCCAAAGAAUUCAGAAUUAAUAUUGUAACAUAGACCUAAAAAAUCUAUAAAACAACUUUUAACAACGGAUCUCUUGGUUUUCGCAUCGAUGAAGAACGUAGCAAAGUGCGAUAACUAGUGUGAAUUGCAUAUUCAGUGAAUCAUCGAGUCUUUGAACGCAAGUUGCGCUCAUUGGUAUUCCAAUGAGCACGCCUGUUUCAGUAUCAAAAGAAACCCUCUAUCCAACAUUUUGUUGAAUAGGAAUACUGAGAGUCUCUUGAUCUAUUCUGAUCUCGAACCCCCUUGAAAUGUACAAAGGCCUGUUCUUGUUUGAAUGCCUCAACUUUUUUUUAAUAUAAAGAGAAGCUCUUGCGGUAAACUGUGCUGGGGCCUCC